Molecule: ribosomal RNA, 242 nt
Filed under: Physcia adscendens
Lineage: Eukaryota; Fungi; Ascomycota; Lecanoromycetes; Caliciales; Physciaceae
Description: partial 18S ribosomal RNA
Source: RNAcentral
CAAAUAGGUUUGCCUGCCGAAACCUCCCGCAACGACGUUAAAAAACUGCGCGGUCUGCGCCCUAUUGGCGUGGGCAACACCGUUUAAGUGCUGAGAAUGCCCGGCGAGAGCCCCGCACAACCAGCAGCCAGCAGUUACUGCCUGGUCCACAGAUCAAUCGACGGUGACCGUUAUCGGUUAAGUUAUGACCGGUCCAGAGCCCCAACGGGCCCUGGAGCCAUGGAACCUGCGRAARGAUCAUU